Molecule: ribosomal RNA, 460 nt
Filed under: uncultured bacterium
Lineage: Bacteria
Description: partial 16S ribosomal RNA
Rfam family: Bacterial small subunit ribosomal RNA
Source: RNAcentral
CCUACGGGAGGCUGCAGUGAGGAAUAUUGGUCAAUGGGCGAGAGCCUGAACCAGCCAAGUCGCGUGAAGGAUGACGGCCCUACGGGUUGUAAACUUCUUUUGUCAGGGAGCAAUUGAGUCCACGUGUGGGCUUAGCGAGAGUACCUGAAGAAAAAGCAUCGGCUAACUCCGUGCCAGCAGCCGCGGUAAUACGGAGGAUGCGAGCGUUAUCCGGAUUUAUGGGGUUUAAAGGGUGCGUAGGCGGAAUAUCAAGUCAGCGGUAAAAAUCCGGGGCUCAACCCCGUCGUGCCGUUGAAACUGAUGUUCUUGAGUGGGCGAGAAGUAUGCGGAAUGCGUGGUGUAGCGGUGAAAUGCAUAGAUAUCGCGCAGAACUCCGAUUGCGAAGGCAGCAUACCGGCGCCCAACUGACGCUGAAGCACGAAAGCGUGGGUAUCGAACAGGAUUAGAUACCCCGGUAGUC